UACGUAGGGGGCUAGCGUUAUCCGGAAUUACUGGGCGUAAAGGGUGCGUAGGUGGUUUCUUAAGUCAGAGGUGAAAGGCUACGGCUCAACCGUAGUAAGCCUUUGAAACUGGGAAACUUGAGUGCAGGAGAGGAGAGUGGAAUUCCUAGUGUAGAGGUGAAAUGCGUAGAUAUUAGGAGGAACACCAGUUGCGAAGGCGGCUCUCUGGACUGUAACUGACACUGAGGCACGAAAGCGUGGGGAGCAAACAGG
Molecule: ribosomal RNA, 252 nt
Filed under: Romboutsia timonensis
Lineage: Bacteria; Bacillati; Bacillota; Clostridia; Peptostreptococcales; Peptostreptococcaceae
Description: partial 16S ribosomal RNA
Rfam family: Bacterial small subunit ribosomal RNA
Source: RNAcentral